This is a non-coding RNA of Lactuca sativa (garden lettuce), 2077 nucleotides long. Lineage: Eukaryota; Viridiplantae; Streptophyta; Magnoliopsida; Asterales; Asteraceae. The record is from RefSeq and is a predicted model, not a curated record.
ACGGUUUCCCUAUCUCGCACGAUUAAAAAAAAAAAAGCCUAACACCACUAAACCUAAAAUGGCGGUCCUUCAUAAUCACAAUCGAUCGACUCUACUUACCUGCUUCCUUCUUUAUCAAUCUCAAUCGAUCGAUUUCUUCAACCAUCAAGCCUCUCACUACGACCGAUUGAUUCCUUCCACCAUCAAGCCUCUAAAUACGACCGCUCACAACCAGCAACAUCGUAUACAUCUAGACCUCCGCCUCAAGUAUCUUCGAUCGACGUGCACACCUUCCACACCCUCCAUCCGCCCUCCAGUGCGGUCACCGUCGGUGUCAGCCCUAAUUUUAGAGAUUCAUGUGACCGGACCGCCCUCAAUUGGGCUUCAUUUUAUGGCAGAGAGGAACACAGUGGUGGCACUGAUGAAAUUUGGUGCGUAUGCAGGGGUGGUUGAUGACCCAACACCUAUGAAUCCAGGUGGACAAAUGGCUGCUGAGAGCUCCAGAAUCAAAAGCAUUAGACUAAGCGAAAAGGGCUGGAAAAAUACCUACGCCAAGCAACUUGGAACACCGCCCCCUAGUGCACAUUAGGGGGCUCGCCACCGGAGACUCGUUAUCGUGCUGGCGAGAAGAGAAAGAAGGUGAGAAACUAAUGUUAUUGGUCCGUCAAAUCUAUUCAUCACUUUCACUCCAAGGGUAGAAUGGUGGAUCAGAGACCAAAGAACGAAGCUCUUGAAGGUUGCUGUUUUAUCUACCCUUGCUCUCUUGAGGGUGAUUGUAGCUGCUUCUUCAUCAACAGAGCAUGAAAAGUUCAUGUGAAGUGUAUCACAUUUUCUCAGACUGUUGGCAAUGCUUCUUUGAGAGAGUAUGUCUUAUUGUCUUAAUGUCUUAUGGUUUCAGAAAAAGUAGCAUAUGAAAGACAUAAAAAGAAAACAUAGUUGAUGGCAAUAAAAAAAAAGAUAAUUUUUGGUUGAUUGUAAACAUCAUUAAUAGAUGUUUGUUACGGAUUGUAUAUUAAAUUAUAUUGGGUUUAAAAAAAAUACAAUUUAAUUAUUUUUGAAAAAAAAAAUCAAAGAAAAAACUAUAGUACUAGGAGUGUUACCACUAAAAUUUGUCAAUUCGUUAUAUUCCUCUAAUUUCAAUUAAUUAACAAAGUAGGAUGUUAUUUGACAUAUGUAUUUGUCAGUUGAGCAAAGGAACGUGUAGUUUAAUCUUUGAAAUUUGUCAAUUUUUUACAUUCCUCUAAUUUCAAUUAAUUAACAAAGUAGGAUGCUAUUUUAACAUAUGUAUUUGUCACUUGAGCAAAGGAACGUGUAGUUUAAUCUUUAAAAUUUUUCAAUUUAUUACAUUCCUCUAAUUUCAAGAAAUUACCAAAGCAUAUCAUGUAAGUUUCCAUGUUUUGACAAAGUAGGAUGCUAUUAUGUCAUUUUUGUUACUUUCAGAAAGGAACAUGUAGGUUAAACUUUCGAAAAUUUCAUUUUAUUACGUUCCUCUAAUUUCAAGAACUAAACAAAGUAUAACAUGUAAGGUCGCAUGUUUUGACAAAUUAUAUAAUUGAUAAAGUAGGUUACAUGCAUACAAGAAACAACAAUGUACUUUCAUUUAUUUAAAAAUACAAUGCAAUAAUAGAAAACGAAUUAAAAGGACCAUUCUAUGUUUAAUUUUCAAAUUGAUGGGUAGUAUAUGAUGUCAAAUUGCUUACAAUUUUUUUUGUAUAUAUCCCAUGAUUUUGCAUGCUCUUCCCUCUUUAUAUUGUAGUACAUUUUUUUUCUUACGUUGGGGGUGGCAAAGAUGGAUACACAGAUGCUGAUAUUGAUGAAAUUCGCAAAGAAUGGUCUUCUUUUGUGGCAACCUGUAUUUUUUGGUGAUAUUAUGUACCAACAAACAAUAUUUUGGUAACUUAGAAAUUUUUAUUAGCAUUUCACAUAGGAUUUCUACAAUAUUUUUGAUAAAUUGUUAUUGCAUUUACAUAAUGCUGAUUUUGCUAUAAGUUUGCUUUGGAUAUAAAAAUUAAGUCAUUUUUGUAUGUAUUUGAACUAAUCGUGUCACCAUUUUUGGCUAUUGAUAUUUUUAUGGAGUUACUACAGGUGUUUUUAUGUA